This is a long non-coding RNA of Esox lucius (northern pike), 1625 nucleotides long. NCBI's taxonomy places the organism in Eukaryota, Metazoa, Chordata, Actinopteri, Esociformes, Esocidae. The record is from Ensembl.
GUGUAACUUAGGUCACAUCGCGUGCAUGGGGUGUGCUGCAUGUAUGUUCCAGCCUAGAUCAGACUGGUGAUUGGAUUAGAUCACUACCUCUUCACACGAUCAAGAAAGGGACUCUUGUGUAUGCACACUAUACAUUUUUUCCUAGAUUGCUAUUUCUAAUUCCUAAUUUUCUUCUACUUACAGGCUUGUUUCUAAUAACUUUCCACCACAAUAACUUACAGGCAUUCAUGAACUAAUUUUCUCUUUACAGCCACAGAAUGCAUUAACACUUGCCCCUCUGUUUGUGCACUUAUUAUUGUGACAAAUGUGUGUCUUAUUUUCUAUUUUUAAUCUCUGCUUUCACAUCACAUGAAUAGACGGCACAAUAAAAAGAGUAAACUCUGAACACUGUUACUGACUAUUAAGGGUGUUGUGUGUGAGGAUGUGGACUGUUGUGUGAGAGGUUUGUACAGUGAAUGAGUUAGGCUUCUGAAAAAAGGUCAAACAAGUGUGACCCUCUGUCUCUUGCACAAUGUCAUAGGAUGGCAUCCUUACUGUAGCUACAGUACUACUUGAAAAGCAGUAGAUCUGUAAUGUAAAAAUUUUAAGUACCUCUGGUUUCAUUUCCAUCUGAGGCCGAAAGGUUUUGUGAAGAGAGGCCAGGUCACUUAAGUCUGAACCUGAUGUAGUUUCUUUUUAAUUUAAGAGCUUAAUUCUCUAUAUUUUUUUUGUAUAUGCUUAUUGAAGUUUGCUCCAGGUGUUUGACUUGCAAAACUAUUUUACUUCCCUGCUGUUCAGUAGUUAAACUAAAAACUAAAACCUUGAAUUAAGAUGAGUAGAUGGGUUGUUUAACCAGGUCUGUUACGCUUUGUCCAUUGGAAGCAGUCAUGAUGACAUGCAUUCAUAAGCAAUCUGUUUUCACCCCGUUUCUGGUCUUCGGCCCGUUUUUUAGUAAUGUGUCUAUGGCUUCUGUUUUUAAAUACACCUCUUUGAAGCAUAUGUUACUGCUGUUUAACCUGUUUGUGAGAACAGUUGUACUGCUAGGUCACAAAACUUACUGUAUCUAUGUGUUUGUGAUGUCACUUUGAAAGGUACAGUAGACCAAAUGACAUCUUGUACACAUAUCACUGAAUCUUUUUGAUCCCAAAAAUAUAUACAGCCACUUAGUUUCUAACAAAGGGGAGGGCAACCAUUUCGGCUCCUGGGCCACAUCCACAGUUUGAAAUUAAAUGGAGGGACACAUGUUUUGUAAUUUGUAAAUCAUUGAGUUAAAUGAUUUGUGGGUCAGAAAAGGUCAAUAAUUAUAAAAUUUUUACAGUAGUUCCAUUAUAAUGUCUAAAUAAUUUUGAUUCAGAUAUAUAAGAAGGGGAUUCGGCCCGCGGGCCUUAGUUUGCCCACCCAUGUUCGAACCUGAGGGAUGCUGUUCAUUUACAAAAUACCUCCUAUUGUGAAGUUAAAAAACAUAUCCUAACGUGUUAUUGCUUGAUUUAGUAUUGAUUGAUGCAAAAUAGAGAACAUGAAAAUCAAGUCUUUUAAGCUUUACAAUCCUCCCUAUGUUCUACUCCCAGUACAGAAUAUGUAGACCGAGCAGAAAAUGUUACCUUUUACUUUUGUUAGCUUGCACAAUUAUGACAUGCCGCGGGGAA